RNAcentral lists this ribosomal RNA (1360 nucleotides) under human gut metagenome. RNAcentral describes it as "bacterial LSU rRNA". It matches the Rfam family "Bacterial large subunit ribosomal RNA", at positions 842 to 2285 of the family's 2925-position model. The record is from RNAcentral.
GAGAUAGCUGGUUCUCCCCGAAAUAGUUUUAGGACUAGCCUCAUGUUAGAUUUCCGGAGGUAAAGCACUGAAUAGCCUAGGGCCCGAGAGGGUACCGAAGCUUAUCAAACUAAGAAUGCCGGAAAAUUGAUGCAUGGGAGUCAGACUGUGUGAGAUAAGUCUCACAGUCAAAAGGGAAACAGCCCAGAUCUACAGCUAAGGUCCCAAAGCAGGUUUAAGUGGAAAAGGAUGUGAAGUUGCUAAGACAACCAGGAUGUUGGCUUAGAAGCAGCCACUCAUUCAAAGAGUGCGUAAUAGCUCACUGGUCGAGUGACUUUGCGCCGAAAAUUCAACGGGGCUAAAACCUGCACCGAAGCUUAGGCAACGUCUUUGACGUUGGGUAGGGGAGCGUUGUGUACGCGGCGAAGUUAUAGCGUAAGCGGUAGUGGAGUGUACACAAGUGAGAAUGCCGGAAUGAGUAGCGAGAAUUGUGUGAGAAUCACAAUGGCCGAAAGCCUAAGGUUUCUGGAGGAAGGUUCGUCCGCUCCAGGUUAGCCGGGAGCUAAGGUGAGGCCGAAAGGCGUAGCCGAUGCACAUACGGUAGAGAUUCCGUAGCCACCGAAACAGUUAAGCAUGGGGACACUUUUGAAAUGUUUGUGCCGGGCGUUGGUUGCCCCGGUCGUGAGGGACCGAAAUUUAGUAGGGAAGUCGAGCAUGGAGAGAGGCGAGAAAAGCCAUGUGUAUUUGUAAGGUGCCCGUACCGCAAACCGACACAGGUAGGUAGGAAGAGGAUUCUAAGGCCAACGGGAGAAGGGUUGUUAAGGAACUCGGCAAGUUGACCCCGUAACUUAGGGAUAAGGGGUGCUCAUGGAAACAUGAGCCGCAGAGAAUAGGCCCAAGCAACUGUUUAGCAAAAACACAGGUCUGUGCUAAAUCGAAAGAUGACGUAUACGGGCUGACACCUGCCCGGUGCUGGAAGGUUAAGGGGAGUUGUGCAAGCAGCGAACUGAAGCCCCAGUAAACGGCGGCCGUAACUAUAACGGUCCUAAGGUAGCGAAAUUCCUUGUCAGGUAAGUUCUGACCCGCACGAAUGGUGUAAUGAUUUGGGCACUGUCUCAACAGCCCGCCCGGCGAAAUUGUAGUACCGGUGAAGAUGCCGGUUACCCGCGACAAGACGGAAAGACCCCAUGGAGCUUUACUGUAGCCUAAUAUUGGGUCUUGGUAUUACAUGUACAGGAUAGGUGGGAGACUAGGAAACCCGGGCGUCAGCUCGGGCGGAGUCACCCUUGGGAUACCACCCUUGUGAUACUAGGAUUCUAACCUGCGGCCCUGAAUCGGGUCGGGGGACAUUGUUAGGUGGGCAGUUUGACUGGGGCGGUCG